GUCUAGUGAAGGGAACACUACCAACUGAAUCAGACUGGGGGCAGGAAGUUUCUCUAUUGCUGAAAUUCUAGUCAUUUCCAGACUCCUACUCAUGUUUUGGCAACUCCGAUUAGAGCAUCAGGGUUCAGCCUUUAAACCGUGACGCUGAUGGUCUUGAAUACUUGGAAAUGAACUAUGAGAUAUCUAAACAACUCAUCAAGUAUUUGAUGUACAGCUAUGUGCACGCCACGAAUCCAGAUUCGGUGGUGUUCAAAAAACCGUCUAGUGUGGCCUCUGUCUUCAUUCCGCUCACACACGAUUCUGGGAGAUAAGACAAAUUUAGCGAAAGACAGCUGGAGAACACGUUCAAGUACUUGACCGUGCAGGGUACCGGCUGUAUGUGAACGGUAACUGUAGACCGCAUGGAGGAGAGGAGGGCAACAGACGGCGAGGGAGACGGACAAGCUCUGGAGGCAGAGAAAAGGGAGGGCACACGCCUCCAGGGUUUUCUGGAGAGCUUGAGCCGACUGUGUGUUGGAAAAUCGGGGUCUCGUGCUGGGGAUUCAGAGAGAAGAUGCCAUAUGUCAGAUCCCAAAUAGCUCCCACUCCACAAAAUGGCUUUGAUUCCACUCAAGUACGAUGUCAGCAAAGCCAGCAAUGAGAAUAAUUUCACAGCAACAGAGUUGGCUAUCUGAAUUUCACUCACGUAUCGACAGCAGAAACAGGAACUCGGAAGCCCUCGUCCCCUUGACAGAUACUGCGAGACAUUCAGGGGAGAGCCUGCCGUCCGUGACACAUGGGCAAUCCCAGGGUCUGGAUCGGUCCUGAGAAACUCACGAGCUUCCUGGCCCUGAGUCAUGGUGUUCCAUAGCCAAAGAAGAAAGCGAAUUACUUAAGACAAGCCUGGGCGCCGACCUUGAGAAUAAGUCACCAAGCAGGAAUUCUUUGUGGCUAUCUAGUUAUUGGCACCAAUACAAACGUCAACCAUAAAUAACGAACGCGUGACUCUAAAAAUCCCUCUCAAAUCAGCAUGGUGGCAACGAAGAGACAAAAGAGUCAGCACACAGUGGCCAUAACUUCACCUCCUUUUCUGUCUGGCCGUUCAGGAAAAUUCCCAGAAAUACAAAUGGGGCCUGCUUCCGGAGCGCCCACAGUGAUCCAGUGACUCAGCGACGGGCUCUUGGAAGUCGGUAAUCUCUUCAAACCAGAGACUUGCGAACCAGAAGCGUCUCUGAGGGCCGUGAGGCCGGCAGGCCCUGGGAGGGCACGGCAGGAGAAAGCGUCUGACCUGGGUUCGAGUCCCAGGCCCUUACCCUCUGCCGGCCCCAGAGCGCAUCACUGACGUUACUUGGGCCAUGUACCGUGCUCCUUCAGGCUUCAUCUCCUCACCUUCAAAAUGUGGACGGCAAUCACAGAUCCUACACGUCAUCGGGUUACGGAAAGAAUCAAAGCCCAAAAUUCAGGCAUUCUUUUCGAAAUAAGGCCUAUUCUAUGUGCCAGGUUCUCACCUACACACUGGGACUCACACGGAUGGGACGAGCCAAGUUCCCCACGCGAGAGCACUCACACAGAGGCCGGCACGCGGUAAGUGAUCACCUCUGUCCUUCCUUGUGCUUCUGACUCUCACCUAGCACACACAUGCCACUGCAUCACCAUGGGGCCCGCCCGGAUGCCUGCCUUGGCUUCCCCAACUGUACUCCAUACCUUCCACCCGCUGGCCCGUCGCUGCCCUCUGGGGCCAACUGGCAGACAUCUCUGCCCUCUGACCGGCUCGCCAGCAUGCAAAGACAUGUGAGUGUUUGGGGACGUCAUUCAGCACGUUCCACAAGCUAGGUCGUUCCAGGAGUGCUUCUCAGGUGUUCGCCUAUUUCACUCCCAGAACCACCCAAUGAGUACAAUUAACUACCGCUCCAUUUACGGUUUAAGGAAACUGAGACACAGAGCAGUUAAGUAAUCUGCCUGAGACCACUCAGCUUCUGUGUCUCCUGAGUCCUGACUCCUGGCCUCCUCUCUUUCCAGUUGGCUCUGGAAGACAUUUCUAAAUCCUGUAACCCAUUCCUCCUAAAAUCUCGCCACGUCUGAUGGUUAAUAGAGUCAAAUGCAAACACCCAGGUCUCUACUGCCUCUAAACCACAAAGUGGGUGUGCCAGCUAGUGGUGGUGGUUGGAGGCACAGCGUGUUUAACUCUACAAGGGGAAACAGAGCUUACGAGUACGUAGAGAUGCUUGGGAAAACCCACCCCAGUAUGUAGCCUUUGCCUACAACAUAAGUCAAACUGCAGGAGCUCGAGGUGUUUAAAUGGCUGCAUUAGCUUUUUUCCUCCCGAAUUCAUCCAGCACUUAGUUAUAUGCCCAGGACACACAGACCCACUGCCUUGACUGGUCAUACUGGAGCACUUAUCGUGACCGUCUAUCCGGCUGUAAAUUUCUUCACGUUGGGACCUGGAUCUUGGUGUCCAUUCUGCUUAGCACAAGGACUCCUGCCCAGUAGAUCGCUGAUAAAUGUCAGCUGGAGGAACCAGAAAAAGAACGAAUGAGCGAGAAUCUGGUGCGGGGCCAGAUUCCACCGCCACCAGGGCAGGGGCUCCAGUCCAUCCAGGACCACAGAAAGCAGGAAGCCAAGCAUAUGGACCACAGGGCUCUUCAAAGGGCCUGGAGGAGGUUCCUUCUUGCAGCAGCAUCGCAGAAUGUGUAAACAGGAAUUCAAGGACUCAAGAGACCUAACAGGACCCUCACGAGCUGACACUCGCUCUCUUGCCAUGUGGCGGGCACAGUGCCAAGGACUCUACAUGCAUGAUGUCCAUUAAUCCCCAUAACAUUCUUGCCUCCUUCUUCUGGUAAUUGAAGCCCUGCCUCCCCCACCGGCCAAAGUAAGUGCCUUGUUUUCCUCCAGCCAAGAGGUGGGGGCGUGUCUAAAUGGACCUACUGGAUACUCUCUCCAGGAUUUGACCCUGAAAGAGGACACAAGGACUGGCCUUAUCAGACCUUGAUGAGCUCGUCCGCUGGGCCUUCCAACAAGACUUGAGCGGCCCUCAUCCUAUCUGAGACCCGGUGCUUCACACUUUCUUCUCUUAUCGACUCCACAUCCUUCCUGUAGAUCCCCUUUCCGAGGUCAGCAGGGUCUGUUCCUGCUGCCUGCGGCCAAGCCCACCCAAUGAGUGGGUGCUGGGAUCACGAGUCUCUGUUCGGAGCAGGAAGCAGGCUGAAGGAGUCGGGGGACUUGCCCAGGCCACCUGGCUGCAAAGUGGCAGAGCAGGGACACAGAGCAGCUUGCCUGUGUCCAGAGCCGAUGGCUUAGCCAUCUGGCCACUGCCUCCUGCUGCUCGUAGGGCUGGAGAGAGCUGGCAUCUGUCACCCCACGGUCCCUUCUUUGGGGCACGUCAAGGUGGUGAGUUCAUCCAUGUGCUGAAAUGCGUUCUCAGGCUCAGAGUGGACAUUCUGCCCGGGGGCUAUUUUCUCAGGACAGGACACGCCUCCCUAGGACUGAUCCCCGUUUCUGAUGCCAUUACCUAAGUACCGUGCCAAAAGGCAUCUAGCACUCGCUGAUGAAACGCAUCCCUCCGGAUCCGUCCUUCCCUGAACCUCUCUCCCAAGGGUCUGAGCACAGGAAAUGUUGUUUUACCACUCGUGACAUUUACUGCAGCAAUGUCUUGAAAAUAAAAAGGGAGAGAGACAGAGCAAGGGGGAAAUGCAUACAUUAAACUUUUGGGUCACCACCACGCAUUUCUUUGGCAUUACUCGCGCUUUCACAACUGGUCUUCAUCAAAGGGUUUUCAUCUGCUCGCCAGUGUGUCAUCUGUCCUAAUGACUCACGAUGAGGGCUCGUUCCUUUCAGCAUGAUUUAUACUAGCUUAUCAUUC
This is a long non-coding RNA of Felis catus (domestic cat), 3838 nucleotides long. RefSeq lists it as uncharacterized. The record is from RefSeq and is a predicted model, not a curated record. NCBI's taxonomy places the organism in Eukaryota, Metazoa, Chordata, Mammalia, Carnivora, Felidae. The transcript is spliced from 4 exons.